RNAcentral lists this ribosomal RNA (1374 nucleotides) under metagenome. RNAcentral's name for it is "bacterial LSU rRNA". It matches the Rfam family "Bacterial large subunit ribosomal RNA", at positions 1538 to 2899 of the family's 2925-position model. The record is from RNAcentral.
AAAUCCGGGGGGCUGAGCUGAGGCGUGAUGACGAGGAACCACGGUUCCGAAGUGAUUGAUACCAAGCUUCCAGGAAAAGCCACUAAGCUUCAGUCUAGAGUUGACCGUACCGCAAACCGACACAGGUGGGCAGGAUGAAAAUUCUAAGGCGCUUGAGAGAACUCAGGAGAAGGAACUCGGCAAAUUAACACCGUAACUUCGGGAGAAGGUGUGCCCCGGUAGCGUGUAGAGACUUGCUCUCGAAGCGCGAUGGGGUUGCAGUGAAAUGGUGGCUGCGACUGUUUAAUAAAAACACAGCACUCUGCAAACACGAAAGUGGACGUAUAGGGUGUGACGCCUGCCCGGUGCCGGAAGGUUAAGUGAUGGGGUGCAAGCUCUUGAUCGAAGCCCCGGUAAACGGCGGCCGUAACAAUAACGGUCCUAAGGUAGCGAAAUUCCUUGUCGGGUAAGUUCCGACCUGCACGAAUGGCGUAGCGAUGGCCACACUGUCUCCUCCUGGGACUCAGCGAAGUUGAAAUGUUUGUGAAGAUGCAAUCUACCCGCGGCUAGACGGAAAGACCCCAUGAACCUUUACUGUAGCUUUGCAUUGGACUUUGAACCGGUUUGUGUAGGAUAGGUGGGAGACUGUGAAGCCGGGACGCUAGUUUCGGUGGAGUCAACCUUGAAAUACCACCCUGAUUUGUUUGAGGUUCUAACCUUGGUCCGUGAAUCCGGAUCGGGGACCGUGCAUGGUAGGCAGUUUGACUGGGGCGGUCUCCUCCCAAAAGGUAACGGAGGAGUACGAAGGUACGCUUAGGGCGGUCGGACAUCGCCCACAAAGUGCAUUGGCAAAAGCGUGCUUGACUGCGAGACCCACAAGUCGAGCAGGUACGAAAGUAGGUCAUAGUGAUCCGGUGGUUCUGUAUGGAAGGGCCAUCGUUCAACGGAUAAAAGGUACUCUGGGGAUAACAGGCUAAUUCCUCCCAAGAGUUCAUAUCGACGGGGGAGUUUGGCACCUCGAUGUCGGCUCAUCACAUCCUGGGGCUGUAGUCGGUCCCAAGGGUAUGGCUGUUCGCCAUUUAAAGUGGUACGCGAGCUGGGUUUAAAACGUCGUGAGACAGUUUGGUCCCUAUCUGCCGUGGGCGCUGGAAAUUUGAAGGGGGCUGCUCCUAGUACGAGAGGACCGGAGUGGACGAACCUCUGGUGUACCGGUUAUGACGCCAGUCGUAUCGCCGGGUAGCUAAGUUCGGAAGAGAUAAACGCUGAAAGCAUCUAAGCGUGAAACCCGCCUUAAGGUAAGAUUUCCCGGAGUCUUGAACUCCCUGAAGGGUCGUCGAAGACCACGACGUUGAUAGGUCAGGUGUGGAAGCGCAGCAAUGCGUUAAGCUAACUGAU